Molecule: non-coding RNA, 36 nt
Filed under: unclassified sequences
Description: DUF805b RNA
Rfam family: DUF805b RNA
About the family: Bacteroidetes, Chlorobi (1 example), Proteobacteria. Lineage (Flavobacteria)
Source: RNAcentral
AAGGCGAAACCCGAAAAGCUUGUAAUAGAGUAGGGA